AGCGUUAUCCGGAUUUACUGGGUGUAAAGGGAGCGUAGGUGGUAUGGUAAGUCAGGUGUGAAAGCCCGGGGCUCAACUCCGGGAUUUGCAUUUGAAACUACCAGACUAGAGUGCAGGAGAGGUAAGUGGAAUUCCUAGUGUAGCGGUGAAAUGCGUAGAUAUUAGGGGAACACCAGUGGCGAAGGCGGCUUACUGGACUGUAACUGACACUGAGGCUCGAAAGCGUGGGGAGC
RNAcentral lists this ribosomal RNA (233 nucleotides) under uncultured bacterium. RNAcentral's name for it is "partial 16S ribosomal RNA". It matches the Rfam family "Bacterial small subunit ribosomal RNA", at positions 537 to 769 of the family's 1533-position model. The record is from RNAcentral.